This 491-nucleotide ribosomal RNA is filed under the name uncultured bacterium. RNAcentral's name for it is "bacterial SSU rRNA". It matches the Rfam family "Bacterial small subunit ribosomal RNA", at positions 21 to 507 of the family's 1533-position model. The record is from RNAcentral.
GGCUCAGAUUGAACGCUGGCGGCAGGCCUAACACAUGCAAGUCGAGCGGUAGAGAGGUGCUUGCAUCUCUUGAGAGCGGCGGACGGGUGAGUAAUGCCUAGGAAUCUGCCUAGUGGUGGGGGAUAACGUUCGGAAACGGACGCUAAUACCGCAUACGUCCUACGGGAGAAANCGGGGGAUCUUCGGACCUCGCGCCAUUAGAUGAGCCUAGGUCGGAUUAGCUAGUUGGUGAGGUAAUGGCUCACCAAGGCGACGAUCCGUAACUGGUCUGAGAGGAUGAUCAGUCACACUGGAACUGAGACACGGUCCAGACUCCUACGGGAGGCAGCAGUGGGGAAUAUUGGACAAUGGGCGAAAGCCUGAUCCAGCCAUGCCGCGUGUGUGAAGAAGGUCUUCGGAUUGUAAAGCACUUUAAGUUGGGAGGAAGGGUAGUAACCUAAUACGUUGCUACUUUGACGUUACCGACAGAAUAAGCACCGGCUAACUUCGUG